Molecule: ribosomal RNA, 506 nt
Filed under: uncultured bacterium
Lineage: Bacteria
Description: partial 16S ribosomal RNA
Rfam family: Bacterial small subunit ribosomal RNA
Source: RNAcentral
AUUGAACGCUGGCGGCAGGCCUAACACAUGCAAGUCGAACGGCACCACAGAAGAGCUUGCUCUUUGGGUGGCGAGUGGCGGACGGGUGAGUAAUGUCUGGGAAACUGCCCGAUGGAGGGGGAUAACUACUGGAAACGGUAGCUAAUACCGCAUAACGUCGCGAGACCAAAGUGGGGGACCUUCGGGCCUCACACCAUCGGAUGUGCCCAGAUGGGAUUAGCUAGUAGGUGGGGUAAUGGCUUACCUAGGCGACGAUCCCUAGCUGGUCUGAGAGGAUGGCCAGCCACACUGGAACUGAGACACGGUCCAGACUCCUACGGGAGGCAGCAGUGGGGAAUAUUGCACAAUGGGCGCAAGCCUGAUGCAGCCAUGCCGCGUGUAUGAAGAAGGCCUUCGGGUUGUAAAGUACUUUCAGCGGGGAGGAAGGCGGUGAGGUUAAUAACCUCGCCGAUUGACGUUACCCGCAGAAGAAGCACCGGCUAACUCCGUGCCAGCAGCCGCCGUAA